CAGUAGCCGCGGGAAUACGGAGGGUGCGAGCGUUGUUCGGAAUCACUGGGCGUAAAGCGCGUGUAGGCGGCUCGAUAAGUCUGGUGUGAAAGCCCGGGGCUCACCCCCGGAAGUGCACUGGAUACUGUCGAGCUCGAGUUCCGGAGAGGAAAGUGGAAUUCCUGGUGUAGCGGUGAAAUGCGUAGAUAUCAGGAGGAACACCGGUGGCGAAGGCGGCUUUCUGGACGGUAACUGACGCUGAGACGCGAAAGCGUGGGGAGCAAACAGGAUUAGAUACCCCCGUAGUCCCUGUCUCUUAUAC
This 301-nucleotide ribosomal RNA is filed under the name uncultured bacterium. Its description in RNAcentral is "partial 16S ribosomal RNA". It matches the Rfam family "Bacterial small subunit ribosomal RNA", at positions 509 to 807 of the family's 1533-position model. The record is from RNAcentral.